This 967-nucleotide antisense RNA is filed under the name Pongo abelii (Sumatran orangutan). The stretch from base 468 to 704 matches the Rfam family "Taurine upregulated gene 1 conserved region 3". Lineage: Eukaryota; Metazoa; Chordata; Mammalia; Primates; Hominidae. The record is from RNAcentral.
AACGAGAUGUCCAGGAUUGGAGGUUGAAAAGAUUUCACUACAGUGUUCUGCAAUAGUUGGAGCAGAUAACUUUCAGUGUAGCCACAGCCAUGGACUCCAGAUUUCCAGAUUUUCAAGAACUGGACCUGGAACCCGAAAGAGCUUGUCAGGAUGCGGCAAGAACACUGGAGGUAGAUUUUUUUUUUAUUUUUGAAUUUUGGGACUGUUGACCUUGCUGUGAGAAAAGAGACAACGACUGAGCAAGCACUACCACCAGCAUUGUUACUGGGAAUUAGAAGACCUGAGUUUCUGUCCAGACCCUCAGUGCAAACUGAGGACGCUCCAUCCAAAGUGAAUCAUGAUAGCAGACUUCUUGAAAGCAGGGUCCUUGUUUAGUGCAUCUUUGCCCACAUAAACCACAACAUGUCAAGAUGCAUUUAUUAGGAAGGAGGAGUUUAGAGAGCAGGCUAUCAGAAUAACCACUCAUCCUGUGCCUCCUGAUUGCUGAGUGUUCACCUGGACCUUCUGACUACCUUCCCUGUGCUAUUCCAUCAGCCUACAGACCUGGUACCUGGAUUUUUGCCCGAGAUGAUUCCUACCACCUUACUACUGAAGAAGACACCCAUUCCAGUGGACCACUGUGACCCAGGAGGCAUUCAGCCAUCAUGAUGUGGCCUUUACCUCCACUCCUGUCCUGUUCUACCCAGAUUCAGCACAGCCCUUUAUAGUGAAGUCAGAGUCCUCAAGCCAAAUAGCUAAAGCUGUUUUAUCACAACAAAGGCCUAGUUUGUUCCAUGAGUGUGCAUUUCAUUUCUUCAGUUAAAGCCUUCAGAGACACACAAUAAAUUUGGACCAGGGGAUUUUUUAGUUAUUAAUGCUCUCUGAAGAAAGGCAACAUCUUUUUGAGAGCAGCAUUGGACCACACCCCACAAUCUCAAAUGGUUGAAAUUCGUGAACAUCUAGGAUCCCGUGAAGGUCACUGGACCCU